UGAAAUACACUGUAGCAUCCCACAAGGAGAAGGCUAAUUUGGUAAUGUAAUUGAUUUUAUAAUUUAGUUCAGAAUAAUUCCUGUCACCCUUGAAGGCUGCAGUUCUUAAUGGCUUGCCUGUAGACCAUCCCUAGGAAGCAAGGCUUUAAGAAUGAUGUUCUGUGGAGAACUAAAGCAAGGAGGGAUUAAACCCACAUGAUGGAGAGACAUCAGACUUCAAACCUUUUUAAAAAGUAGAUAAUUCUUCUUUGAGUUCUUUUAAGAAAUGAUGCUUGGGUAGAUCAGUAACACAGUAAGUAUUGAGAGAGGGCAAAGAUGGGUCAGAUUUAGUAAGAUGCAAGUUGGAUGCAAACAGAGUUUCUUUUUGAAUGUUCAUUUCAGUUCUCUGACGUGUGAUAUGAGUGCCGAUUUACUGUUUGUGUUUUAACUUUCAGAGCUAUCCUGAAAAGUAUCAUGGCAAAGUGUGUUUGAAAGCAGACCAUUUGCACGAUAAAUAAUCUGAAGGCUGGAUUCAGUCAGCUCCAGCCUUGUCAUAGGCAAGGUCUUCAUAGCCCUGCUGAUUUCAGUGAAUGCUGAACCCAGUGCUGGCUGCUCUGUGGUCUGUGUGUCACAGAGCUCUGGUGUGGCUGCUCUUACCUGUCCUGAACCUUGUUGGGAACAAGGAAGCACCUCUAGAGGUCCCUAUUGUACUGCAAAUCCAGGAAACUGCUUGGGACUCCUCCUUUAUGACCCAGUUAAGGAACAAACAGAAAAAAGUGCAGGGCUUGCAUAAGACUGUCAGGCACUAUUGAACAGAGACAUUUGUGUUUAUCUGCCUACCUGGUAAGGGAAAGGUAAGCAAUUUUUAUGCUUCAAAUGCCUCUCAUAUCUCCCCAAGGGCAUUUAGUUAUCUUGCUCCUUGGCUGGAGGUACAGUUGUAGUGGGUGUAAGUUACAGCUUCCUCCUGCUCUAUCUGCAAAGCAAUCUGGAUCCCAGCUGAGUUCAUAGUGCAGUAUGCAGUGAUCUACUUUAGAACAAGUAGGGUCAGGACUUCACAGUGCUUCCUUUGCCCCUUGUUUUAAAUUAAACAAGUUCCUGAUGAUUUCCUUUACAGCUUACAUCUAUUUCAGGUGUGGCUGUCACUGUUCCAGUGAUGAUACUGAUGGGUUAGAGGGGCAUAACACAGGCCUGACGUUUUCAGGUGCAGUAGGGAUGACGCCAGAGCAGUCUGUGCCACUCACAGGAGCAGAG
RNAcentral lists this long non-coding RNA (1230 nucleotides) under Lonchura striata (white-rumped munia). Its description in RNAcentral is "domestica (Bengalese finch) lncRNA (ENSLSDG00000018042.1)". Lineage: Eukaryota; Metazoa; Chordata; Aves; Passeriformes; Estrildidae. The record is from RNAcentral.